GUGAAUUUGUAGCCUCCAAGGCUCACAUUCUCUAUCCUUUACACACCUGUGCACCUCCUGUAGUCUCUCAGACGAUUUUCUCAGUCUUCGGAUUGGAUGGGACUCGCUGCUUUUUCCCAAAGGGAAAGGCUUCAGUCCAAUGUCUGAGGGGUCUAUGUCUACACAUACACUGUAUAAAACUACCAGAAUGUAUCACGGUCUUUUACAGACCUUAAAACUAAAAUA
RNAcentral lists this unclassified non-coding RNA (225 nucleotides) under uncultured Pterula. RNAcentral describes it as "sequence contains ITS1". The record is from RNAcentral. Lineage: Eukaryota; Fungi; Basidiomycota; Agaricomycetes; Agaricales; Pterulaceae.